Molecule: ribosomal RNA, 464 nt
Filed under: uncultured bacterium
Lineage: Bacteria
Description: partial 16S ribosomal RNA
Rfam family: Bacterial small subunit ribosomal RNA
Source: RNAcentral
GACGAACGCUGGCGGCGUGCUUAACACAUGCAAGUCGAACGGUAAGGCCCUUUCGGGGGUACACGAGUGGCGAACGGGUGAGUAACACGUGGGUGAUCUGCCUUGCACUUUGGGAUAAGCCUUGGAAACUGGGUCUAAUACCGGAUAGGAUUUUGCGAUGCAUGUCGUGUGGUGGAAAGCUUUGGCGGUGUGAGAUGGGCCCGCGGCCUAUCAGCUUGUUGGUGGGGUGAUGGCCUACCAAGGCGACGACGGGUAGCCGGCCUGAGAGGGUGUCCGGCCACACUGGGAGUGAGAUACGGCCCAGACUCCUACGGGAGGCAGCAGUGGGGAAUAUUGCACAAUGGGCGCAAGCCUGAUGCAGCGACGCCGCGUGGGGGAUGACGGCCUUCGGGUUGUAAACCCCUUUCAGCACAGACGAAGCGUAAGUGACGGUAUGUGCAGAAGAAGCACCGGCCAACUACGUG